RNAcentral lists this small RNA (305 nucleotides) under Caenorhabditis elegans. RNAcentral's name for it is "Unclassified non-coding RNA K12C11.9". Lineage: Eukaryota; Metazoa; Nematoda; Chromadorea; Rhabditida; Rhabditidae. The record is from RNAcentral.
GCGAUGAUUUGGAGCUGCUUCGUCGUCGGAUUCGCUGGAUUUUUACUAGAAUUUUUGAAAUAUUCGAAAUGGGCGGCCUCAAUGCAAAUGCGCCCCGCCGGUGACGUAGAUCGGAGAACCAAGUACGGUGGAUGUGUAGUUCCUAGUGAAAACCGGAAGAAAUUGUGAUUUUUCCGCCGGCGGAAGAGAUCAAUCGAUUUAUCGAUUUUUACAGAUUUUGGGCGAGGCACGUUGUUCAAGCAAUGUAUCAUUUUUGGCAAACACUUCUGGCAUUCAUUUUAAUGAACAUUUAUAUGACUUUUAAU